RNAcentral lists this long non-coding RNA (256 nucleotides) under Phasianus colchicus (ring-necked pheasant). RNAcentral describes it as "lncRNA (ENSPCLG00000004810.1)". The record is from RNAcentral. Lineage: Eukaryota; Metazoa; Chordata; Aves; Galliformes; Phasianidae.
AAACCUGAAGUAAGGAGAAUAAUCGGAUUCUUUCAGUUCCUGCCUCUAUCAGUUGCUAUACUGUGCCUCUUCUCUCCCUGCAGUGAGACACAGUUACUAACAGCACUCUGUGGCAUCUACUGUUACAAUACGCUUUUGCUUCCAUUCAAGCAUAUAGAGGCUCCUAAGAGCUGGGCAACAGAGGUAUUUAUUAUGUCAUCGUCCUCUUCUCUGAAGGGCUCUGACUCUUCACAAGUGACAGGCAGCUAUCUCCGAG